RNAcentral lists this ribosomal RNA (495 nucleotides) under uncultured bacterium. Its description in RNAcentral is "partial 16S ribosomal RNA". It matches the Rfam family "Bacterial small subunit ribosomal RNA", at positions 28 to 505 of the family's 1533-position model. The record is from RNAcentral.
GAUGAACGCUGGCGGCGUGCCUAAUACAUGCAAGUCGAGCGAACGGACGAGAAGCUUGCUUCUCUGAUGUUAGCGGCGGACGGGUGAGUAACACGUGGAUAACCUACCUAUAAGACUGGGAUAACUUCGGGAAACCGGAGCUAAUACCGGAUAAUAUUUUGAACCGCAUGGUUCAAAAGUGAAAGACGGUCUUGCUGUCACUUAUAGAUGGAUCCGCGCUGCAUUAGCUAGUUGGUAAGGUAACGGCUUACCAAGGCAACGAUGCAUAGCCGACCUGAGAGGGGGGCCGGCCCAGUGGGAACUGAGACACGGGCCAGACUCCAACGGGGGGCAGCAGGAGGAAAUUGCCCGCAGGGGCGGAAGGCCUGACGGGCAACCGCCGCGGGGGGUAAGAGGGUUUGCGGUUGUUAAAACUUUUUUAUGAGGGAAAAAAAAUUGUUUAAGAAAAUGUGCACAUUUUGAGGUCACCAAAUAAAAAAGCCCGGGCAACCUCCG